Long non-coding RNA from Ictalurus furcatus (blue catfish), 1679 nucleotides. RefSeq lists it as uncharacterized. The record is from RefSeq and is a predicted model, not a curated record. The transcript has 5 exons. NCBI's taxonomy places the organism in Eukaryota, Metazoa, Chordata, Actinopteri, Siluriformes, Ictaluridae.
CUGUUCGCCAUCGGCUUUGACGACGCGUUCUUUUUCUACACGCCACACCAUCCAGGGCUUUUCAGGAACCGUUAACCUCACACAGCACGGAAACAUCACAGAAGACCGGACACACGUUCGUCUCGUCUCUAAACCCUCCUCACCAGCCGUGACCCAGUCCGUGACCUUUAACCUGAGAGCUUCACGUCAGAUUGAGGUUGAGAGUGUGGGAUGUGUCUCUUCCUUCUCCUUUCCAGAGUAAACUGAUGGACGCUGUUUACCAGGUUCACGCCGAGAGCCUGCUCUCCUACGCAGAGAUGAUGGAUUGAGCGUGUGUCCUGGAGAACGUGCAGCUGAAUCUCCAUCCCAUUGAUCCGGAACCUGAUGAUGAUGGACCAAACCACUACGUUUCCCAAGAGGGGCGCGCCGUGCCUGAUUUCACUACACAGACGUGGCACUGUACUUCAUUUCCAGCAUGUUCUUCUGAACGCACAGGAUUUGAAGUGUUAUUGUGUGACGGAGAUUUGCCCGCCUCACCUCUGCUUCCCAUGAUGCUGUGCUCAGAGUGUUGUAGACUCCCUGACUUUACGCAAAUUAUGUCCUACAAAGAAUGCUUAUAUCUGUAUUACAUAUACUCUGCACUAUCAUUUGUGAUUAUUACUUCGAGUCAAUGUCUCCUCAACUUGCUCAGCGACAGCAAAACUCAAGACGUGAAAAGAAGAGAGAAGAGAAAGAAGACAAAGGAGAAUCAAAUCCGUCCUUCUUCUUCUUCCCAGACCGGCCGACCGGCGGGAGAACCAGAUUGUAGCCGUGCUAGGCAAAGGCAAGCUGAUAUCCAACGCCUAGCAAAUGCACACAAACUUUUACACACAAUUGAAGAACACGUUGAAGACAUUGAACAAAGUGAAGUAAAUAUGUUAAGGUUGAAUGCCAAUCUGAAGGAGAUGAGAAAAGAGGCAAGUAAGAAACAUGAUAAAGUUGAUAGGCGCAUGAGAGCGCACAAAAGGGCGAUUUACCGCCACUAUGGAGCACUGGAGGCAGAACAAAUCUUCCUUGCUGCUCAAUCUAAUCUACUGUAGAUAAUCCAGGUAAAUCUAUCCAUGAAGAGAUAGAAGAAUCCUGUGUUAAAUUACUUGGCCUUGAAAUCUCAACCCUGAAGGAUCACUCAGACCCAUUUAAUCCUCACCUCAGUGAGAGAACAGGAUGUCUCUAAAAAAGGGUCAUGUAAAGUUCAUGUAUCCGGUGUGUGUGUGUGUAUGUUAAAGCUUUUACCCUCAGUGCACUGCAGUAGAGAAGUGCCACUGCUCUACCUAAGGAGUGCACAAGCACAAAUGUAUUUACUCUGCUACUAUUCCGCCUUAUGAAGCGUGCAUUUUACUAGGUUUUAUGAUGUGCCCUCUAAUGUAUUCAAAAGGUUACCUGCCAGUGCACUUCACUUUGUUUAUAAGAUACACUCACCAUAUGAGUAUAAAUACUGCCUGUCUGUUCAUUAUAACUUCGCCACAUCUCGGGUGAAGAUCUCUUCGUUGUUGAUUUCUUGUUCCAGAACAUCCUUAGUGAUUGUUAAUUAUUAUCUUUUACCUAGAUGUAUCACUGUAUGCUACUUUUCUUUUAUUCCUUAUUUGAUACAAAGAUAAUUGUAAGACUCCAGUUUAUUCAAUAAAACGAAGCCCAUAUCUUGGGUGAUUCAAGAACUUUAA